GAAGAAACAAUGGAGGGAAUUUGAUAGAGCAAAAAUGUUGGUGGGUCCUGGAGAGAGGGGCCCUGCCCCCUGUUUCCUAUUCUCAAGAACAGCUCCAGAGAGGCAGCAAGGGAACGACUGUGAGAAAUAUUUGCACAGAUGAGUCCACAUAGUCUCCUCCAAUUUCCUGUCCUUCCAGCACAGAAGCAGCAGAAAGACUUCUGCGCAAUGCUGAAGCUGCAGAAAGAUUCGAGAUCUUCAGCUUUUAACUCUGACGAGGCUCUGCCAAUACCUGGAUCCAGAUAAGUGUGAGUACUACAUUGGAACACAAGGCCUGACUACAGACUAGAAGUGGCUCCAGAAGCACUUCAUCUUCUGUGGCUAAGAAACAGGAUCUGUUCUGAGAAAAACCAACAUCUGUAACCACACGUUAAGAGUGCAUAAAUUCACACACACAUACAUCACAACAACAACAACAACAACAACUUUCUUUGAAAGAGGGGCGAGUGAUGUAGUUAUAAUCUCUCACUAUUGGAGAGUUUCUGAAACAUGUUCACAUCUCCUACCUCAUUUGAUCCUCCCCCAAAUGCAGUUUGGAAUAAGGCAUGCAGCCACUACAAGUCCUGUUUCACAGAUGAAGUGGGUGAGGUUUAGAAAAGCCAAGGGCCUAGCUCAAGGUCACAAGUUACUGGGUGGCGGAGCAGGGACGUGAGCCCAGGUGUCCGAGUCCUGUGCCAUUGGGGACCCACUUGACUAAUGCAGGGUAUUAGAGUUAAGUGGGUAAGGGGUCUUGAAACAUUUGCCCAUUUUUCAGGCAUUUGACCUAAACCACAGAAAAGGGAAAAACUAGUGACCUAAGGUCACAUAAAGAGUCACACAAGCAGAAAAUUGAAGAAAGAAUGAAGUCUAACUCCAGUCCAUGUUUACAACAAAUCCUCCUCCUAUCAAGAGCCAGUACCUUUAAAAAGGAAUCUCUUCUUCUCAAAAGAACCAGAGACAUUUCCAAAUGUUUUCCCCUUGAUUAAAAUCCUAGGUAUAAAAAGCAGGAAAUGUUUAUGCUCAAAAAACAAGGCUCCUCUGUAUUGAGCAAAUGGGAAUCCUUUGAUUCAAUCUGAAAUUUCUUUUCUAGGUAUGGUUACGUGGUUUUUUAAAAGAAAUAAAAAUGGAGAACGUUCAAUGCUUUAAAUACCACCUUUCUCUCUCUCAGUUUGCUUGCU
This 1196-nucleotide long non-coding RNA is filed under the name Equus caballus (horse). RNAcentral's name for it is "lncRNA (ENSECAG00000034600.3)". The record is from RNAcentral. Lineage: Eukaryota; Metazoa; Chordata; Mammalia; Perissodactyla; Equidae.